This 210-nucleotide long non-coding RNA is filed under the name Homo sapiens (human). Its description in RNAcentral is "HSALNT0149039". Lineage: Eukaryota; Metazoa; Chordata; Mammalia; Primates; Hominidae. The record is from RNAcentral.
CUCUUGCCAUCCAGAAAAGUCAGAGCAACUGGUCUUGCUGGUUUUAAGUGUUGCCUGUGUUUCUGGCAUUGGUAAGUUUCUUUGUUUUCCUGUAGUUUUAGGUAUACAUAUAUAAUGACAUCUCCAAAAUUCAUCAAUAUUAGCAUUUGUUAUGAAGAUUUUUCAGGCAACUGGCUUACCAUAUGGCCUAAAUCUGAUUCUAAAGUCCAC